GAGGGGAGUGAAAUAGAACCUGAAACCCUGCACUUACAAGCUGUGGAAGCACAUUUCUUGUGUGACCGCGUACUUUUUGUAGAACGGGCCAACGAGUUACGUUAAGUAGCAAGGUUAAGCACUUAAGUUGCGGAGCCGUAGCGAAAGCGAGUUUUAACUGAGCGUUCAGUUACUUGACGUAGACCCGAACCCGGGCGGCCUACCCAUGAGCAGGAUGAAGCGAAAGUAAAAAUUCGUGGAGGUCCGAACCCACGAGCGUUGAAAAGCUAGGGGAUGACUUGUGGGUAGCGGUGAAAUUCCAAUCGAUCCCGGAGAUAGCUGGUUCUCCCCGAAAUAGCUUUAGGGCUAGCCUCAAGGUGAGAGAUACGGAGGUAGAGCACUGAAUGUCCUAGGGG
This 395-nucleotide ribosomal RNA is filed under the name Clostridioides difficile. RNAcentral's name for it is "partial 23S ribosomal RNA". It matches the Rfam family "Bacterial large subunit ribosomal RNA", at positions 531 to 925 of the family's 2925-position model. The record is from RNAcentral. Lineage: Bacteria; Bacillati; Bacillota; Clostridia; Peptostreptococcales; Peptostreptococcaceae.